RNAcentral lists this ribosomal RNA (255 nucleotides) under uncultured bacterium. Its description in RNAcentral is "partial 16S ribosomal RNA". It matches the Rfam family "Bacterial small subunit ribosomal RNA", at positions 524 to 776 of the family's 1533-position model. The record is from RNAcentral.
UACGGAGGGUGCAAGCGUUAAUCGGAAUUACUGGGCGUAAAGCGUGCGUAGGCGGUUCGUUAAGUCUGUUGUGAAAGCCCCGGGCUCAACCUGGGAAUGGCAAUGGAUACUGGCGGGCUAGAGUGUGUCAGAGGAUGGUGGAACUCCCGGUGUAGCGGUGAAAUGCGUAGAGAUCGGGAGGAACAUCAGUGGCGAAGGCGGCCAUCUGGGGAACAACACUGACGCUGAGGCACGAAAGCGUGGGGAGCAAACAGG